ACGACGAGUGCAGGGGCAAAAGCUCGAAUUUGUAUCUGGUACUUCGGUGCCCGAGUUGUAAUUUGGAGAGGGCUUCUUUGGGGCCGUUCCUUGUCUAUGUUCCUUGGAACAGGACGUCAUAAAGGGUGAGAAUCCCGUGUGGCGAGGAGUGUGGUUCUUUGUAAAGUGCCUUCGAAGAGUCGAGUUGUUUGGGAAUGCAGCUCUAAGUGGGUGGUAAAUUCCAUCUAAAGCUAAAUAUUGGCGAGAGACCGAUAGCGAACAAGUACAGUGAUGGAAAGAUGAAAGAACUUUGAAAAGAGAGUGAAAAAGUACGUGAAAUUGUUGAAAGGGAAGGGCAUUUGAUCAGACAUGGUGUUUUGUGCCCUCUGCUCCUUGUGGGUAGGGGAAUCUCGCAUUUCACUGGGCCAGCAUCAGUUUUGGUGGCAGGAUAAAUCCAUAGGAAUGUAGCUUGCCUCGGUAAGUAUUAUAGCCUGUGGGAAUACUGCCAGCUGGGACUGAGGACUGCGACGUAAGUCAAGGAUGCUGGCAUAAUGGUUAUAUGCCGCCCGUCUUGAAACACGGACCAAGGAGUCUAACGUCUAUGCGAGUGUUUGGGUGUAAAACCCAUACGCGUAAUGAAAGUGAACGUAGGUUGGGGCCUCGCAAGAGGUGCACAAUCGACCGAUCCUGAUGUCUUCGGAUGGAUUUGAGUAAGAGCAUAGCUGUUGGGACCCGAAAGAUGGUGAACUAUGCCUGAUAGUGAAAACCCCAAAAAAAAAANNNGGGCAGCGNCACCACNNAAAANNUUCGGGGGCGAAAGGCCACCUCCAUUUUUGUAUAUUUAGAAGAGGAAGAACCCUCGCCCCUG
This 847-nucleotide ribosomal RNA is filed under the name Saccharomyces cerevisiae (brewer's yeast). RNAcentral describes it as "eukaryotic LSU rRNA". It matches the Rfam family "Eukaryotic large subunit ribosomal RNA", at positions 86 to 869 of the family's 3401-position model. The record is from RNAcentral. Lineage: Eukaryota; Fungi; Ascomycota; Saccharomycetes; Saccharomycetales; Saccharomycetaceae.